This 274-nucleotide ribosomal RNA is filed under the name uncultured bacterium. Its description in RNAcentral is "partial 16S ribosomal RNA". It matches the Rfam family "Bacterial small subunit ribosomal RNA", at positions 523 to 796 of the family's 1533-position model. The record is from RNAcentral.
AUACGGAGGGUGCGAGCGUUAAUCGGAAUUACUGGGCGUAAAGCGUACGUAGGCGGUUGGUUAAGUUAGAUGUGAAAGCCCCGGGCUUAACCUGGGAACUGCAUUUAAAACUGACGAACCAGAGUUGAGUAGAGGGGAGUGGAAUUUCAGGUGUAGCGGUGAAAUGCGUAGAGAUCUGAAGGAACACCAGUGGCGAAGGCGACUCCCUGGACUCGAACUGACGCUGAGGUACGAAAGCGUGGGUAGCAAACGGGAUUAGAAACCCUUGUAGUCC